AUACGAAGGUCCCAAGCGUUAUUCGGAAUCACUGGGCGUAAAGAGUACGUAGGCGGUUUGGUAAGUCAGGUGUGAAAUCCCGGAGCUCAACUCCGGAACUGCAUCCGAUACUGCCAGACUUGAGUAAUGGAGAGGCAGGUGGAAUUCUCGGUGUAGCAGUGAAAUGCGUGGAUAUCGAGAGGAAGACCAAUGGCGAAGGCAGCCUGCUGGACAUUUACUGACGCUGAGGUACGAAGGCUAGGGGAGCGAAAGGGAUUAGAAACCCGGGUAGUCC
RNAcentral lists this ribosomal RNA (274 nucleotides) under uncultured bacterium. RNAcentral's name for it is "partial 16S ribosomal RNA". It matches the Rfam family "Bacterial small subunit ribosomal RNA", at positions 523 to 796 of the family's 1533-position model. The record is from RNAcentral.